AUGCAUGCCCUCGAUCGGUCUCUACACGGUGCAUCCCUGAGGAAAUUUCCAUUAAACUCGCCGGUCGGUCGUGUAUAUUUAUGCGACGCUGAAGGAUCCUGCGGCGUUCUCGACGAACUUCUUGGCGCCCUUGAACCACCUCUUGUCUCCGGCUUGCGCCUUGCAGACGUAGAGCUUGCCGAAGCCGACCUGGGAGAGGAACUCCUCAGGGGAACCGUAGUCGGUGAUGGUCUUCUUGGUAGUGGGGUUGAUUAUAACGGAGAGGUUGCUGGUGGCGUCGAAGUUGUCCUCGUAGCGGAGCACCUGCCCAGGGAACUCACGCUCCUUGCUGGGGUUCCACUUGGCCGGGAUCAUCAGUUUGAACCCCUCGCCGCUGUACGCCACGAAGUCCGUGUUCUUCUUCGCCUUGCCGAACACGUUGGCUGCAACGUCAUUCUUCUGCGCCUUGCAGACGAAAAGCUGGGUGCGCCCGACGGCGGGCGCAGGGCGCGCCGAGGCGGCCAGGCGCGCGGUGGACUGGUGGAGGAAGCAGGAGGUGGACGCCAUUGCUCGCUGCUGUUUAGCUUAGCUUAG
This 573-nucleotide ribosomal RNA is filed under the name Triticum aestivum (bread wheat). RNAcentral's name for it is "partial small subunit ribosomal RNA". Lineage: Eukaryota; Viridiplantae; Streptophyta; Magnoliopsida; Poales; Poaceae. The record is from RNAcentral.